UUUGCAGUUUCUCUCAAUGUGUCCUCUCUCUCCACAACGGUAACACUUGUUCUUCCAGUCCCCUGCUGUGCAGUCACGAGCCCAAUGACCAUCUACACCACAGUUAAAACAGCGACCAGCUCCAGGUGGUGGGCCUCUGCUAUCAAAAUCCCGA
RNAcentral lists this small RNA (154 nucleotides) under Arabidopsis thaliana (thale cress). RNAcentral describes it as "ATSL121560". The record is from RNAcentral. Lineage: Eukaryota; Viridiplantae; Streptophyta; Magnoliopsida; Brassicales; Brassicaceae.